Molecule: long non-coding RNA, 1227 nt
Organism: Trichosurus vulpecula (common brushtail)
Lineage: Eukaryota; Metazoa; Chordata; Mammalia; Diprotodontia; Phalangeridae
Exons: 3
Source: RefSeq, a predicted model, not a curated record
GGGAGCUGGGGCAGGGGUGGGGUAGGGUGGGGCAUCUUGGAGCGGAGGUCGAGUCACCGCUCCGCCAUCGGAUCUAUACGGGGAGAGAGAGGCACGUAGACGCGGGCGGGGCAAAGAGAUACCGGCGGCAAACGCCUACUGGUCAGAGCUUGGCCGACUUGUCCGAAGAAGUUCUGAUUGGCCAACGGCCGAAAACACCGCCCCUCAAGCUAGAUCCCGGUGGACACAAUCCCUCCCUUCGCAUUCCCGAGAUUCUGCCCUCCCAGUUAGCACUUUUCGCAAUUCUCUGGAGCGCUGCCCUGCGGCCGAUCCCGUUUCCGGUUGGAAGACUCUUGAGACCCUGCUAUGUGCCAAGUGUGACCCAGUGACCCUUCGGCCCAAAGAACUCGAGCUGCAGACUCACAGCCUGGGCUGAGAUUGUUACCGCCUUACCAGAGAGUCUUGACAACAAGAAUACAGGCAACUCUCCAGAGGUGCUUCCUCAUUCCCAACCCACUCCAAAUUGCUAUUUCAGAUUCCUGCAGUGCUCUUCCCACACUCAGACCUGCAAUUACUUGGGUAAAGUCAAAUGUCCCAGUGCUAUCUCCUAUCUCUUAUCGAUAGAUCAGUCCCUCUACUCAAUUCCUAGCCAAAUUUCCAUGAGCCAGGGAGGAAUCUUAAAGAAACUUUCUCCCUUGACAGCUAGAGAGGCCCACAGAGGAAGGCACCCUGUAACUCUGGAAGCAGUCCCAUUUAACCUGUAAUUUGAGAGGCCAAAUUUCCUUUUCCCUUUAUCUCUGUUCCAAUGGGGGCCCCUGAGUAAACACACAGGGCCCUCAUCGAGAGUCUGCCCUGGGCAGUAACCCCAGGCAUAUGACAGAACCUACCUUUUAUCUCAGACUGCACUAAUGGAACUGGUUCCAGUCUGUCCUGCCACCUGCAUUCUACAGCCAUUUCCCCAUAUGCCAUCUUCCCCUAGACAGGGCUGAGGUGGUUGAUGACUGACACCAGAAGAACACUGUGAUGGAGUAAAAGGGAAAAAAACUGGGUGCUUUAUCACCCCCAGACAAUCAUAUUGGAACUACUGGUCUUCGUGGCUUGUCACAAAUAGUUUACCGGGGUGGGGAACCUGUGGCCUGGAGGCCACAAACUGCUUUGAGUGGGAUCUGUAUUCUUUGUAUUUGUAUCCUCAACACCUAGCUAACAUAAUGACUCUGGAACGAUAAUAAUAAAUCAUUUUGAUUGGGA